Long non-coding RNA from Neofelis nebulosa (Clouded leopard), 10414 nucleotides. RefSeq lists it as uncharacterized. Lineage: Eukaryota; Metazoa; Chordata; Mammalia; Carnivora; Felidae. The transcript has 3 exons. The record is from RefSeq and is a predicted model, not a curated record.
GAAUCUUCUGAUUAUGAGGCAUUCCCAGAACUACUUUAUAAUAAGCUUUGGUAGAAAUACUGGAAUGAAUGUUAGAAAUAUAUUCCUCAGGAUUUUCCAAGAUUUGUUCUUAUAUCACCAGAAAGCAGUGUGCAUCACCCUUGCAGGGAACAGAUACUUGAGAAAAUAGAUGCUGGUGCAGGUCUUCCUGGGUUGAAUCCCAGGUCCACCAUUUGCCUGUGGUAUGAACUUGAGCAAGUUACCUAACUUCUCUGUGCCUCAUCUUUACAGUGGGGUAGUAAGGGAUUUCCACAUCUAUUAAUGAAGUUCUAGACAAUUUUAACCAACCCUCCUAAUUAAGGCAACUAGAAAACAUACUCUAAAAUAUACAUUUAUAUGUGUAUGUUAAAAUAUUAAUAUAAAUUUUAGACACACACACACACACACACACACACACACACACACACACAGUGCUUGAAGGCAUCAGAGUUUACAAGACAGUGAAGGAUUACCAGGCCAGGAUCUAGGGGAGAUGGAAAGGUCAGGAAUGCCAUGCUGGUGUGUUCUGAGCUGCUUUUCUGGGGGCAUUUGGUGUUUCUAGGAGCAGGGAUAGAGAGUGUGCCGUGGGGCUGAGUGUUACUUUUGGCAACUUUGUCUGGUUGAGGGAACAGGGAUUGGCUGAGGAUGGGAGGACCUAUGAAGCUCCUUGUUUGGGUUGGGUCUCUUAAAAACUCACACUAGGAAUAAGGAUGAACCAGAAUUAGGCCCCACAGCACAGCUACGAUCUGCCCAGCAAUGGAAAACAGGAUGAGGUGACCCUGAAAGCAAGUGCAAAUUCUAGGAAGAAUGAAUUUGGUAAUGAUUGAGUUCUUCUUAAGUUAACUGGUGGGUUCCCUUGCCUCUUUUACUUUGCUACAAUGUAGGAUACCAGGGUCUAAAUAAAUCCUGAGGCUUAUCUAGCCUUGUCUUUGUGGGUCAUUGUGUGCAACCCCCCCCCCCAUAAUCUAGCAAUCCAAAAUAAACAUUGAUUUCUUUAUAUUAUUUUCAUUAUCUGCCUCUUUUUGUCCCCAAGGCAAUCCCUUCCCCAAGCCAGCAUUACUCCCUCCUUUUAUAUUUUAUAUAUCCCUGAAAAUUUCUCUAUGGUAUCCCCAAAAUAUGGUAUUAAUUGCUGUCUUUCCCCCUUCCAUUUUCCUCUUGCCUACUACCUCUCCAUUUUUACCCUUUCUGGAGAAAGACCUUUCCUCCACCGAUCCUUUCUAAUACAGAUAACCCAUCUUGGCUUACAAGUUUCUUUCACUGCACAAUUAGACCACAGAGCUCUAGGAAAGUGGAAAAUACCAAAAUGACAUUGCCAGAAAUUUCCUUGAUUGGGAGACGAGGUGGGAGGGAGGCCAUGAAUGCCCAUGCCUAUGUGCCUAUUAAACUUUCCAUCUAUUGCCCCUAACUUCUCUAGUUUACUCUGGACAGAUCAAAAUCCCUGUCAGAUAUCUGUGACAGGAGGAACUGUCAGGUUCAGCUGCCUCUGCCAGAAUUAAUCACUGUCCUUUCCCAAACGGAGGCAGAGAAUGGGAAAACUCUCUAAUGGCCAACAUGUCAGAUUUAGUAUUUAAUCCCUCCCCUCUGCCCCCAAGAAUCUCCCCUCCUCUCCUCCAGUUCCCAUUCCUCUUAUAAUGAAAGAUUAUUCAUCUAAUAGACACCUUGAGAUAGAGGCUGCCACGAGAAGUUCCUCUUCUCCACAACAGAAGCAAAUAUUGACUAAUAUUGACUAUGUCCAGUACUCUACGUUUGGCCAGCCCAAAAGGCCGAGAGUGAUCCCUACUUACAUGGACUUACCCAUGCUGAGUUCUUUCAAAUCUCCUUUCGUCAUAGGAUACCUACCUGCACUGGAGCAAUUUGGUGCCCAAUCUGCAAGAAGAUCUGUCUCUCAUCGUCCCUGAUUGGGCUUUGGAUCCUAUUUAUGAUCACCUGGGAAAAAUUCAAUAGGAUGGAGUAUCCUUGCUAUAACUUCUAGUUUCCUAAAUCUGCUCAAUGCCUCUGGUGCCAGCCCCGUUAGAUGAUCCUGAAGGUCAUUAAAAUUCAUUCUUUAUUCUCCUCAAACUGAGGUCUGCUUCACCAGUAGUGAGAAUUCGUGAGGCUCUCUCUUUGGGAUUAAAACCCAGCAAACCAUGGCUCGCUCACCUAGUUGCUCCAACCAGUAGAUUUGCCAAGCUUCAUUCCAUCCCUCCUGGCAGACAGUCUGCUUUAGGAAUUCUUCCAGCCACUUACUUCUUAUGGGCACAUCCUCUCAAAACCAUUCAUAACAUUAAUGGCAGCUGUUUUAGCUUUGACUUCAUAAAUCACCCUGGUGUAGGAUGUUAGAUGCUAGCAUCUCUUUUUUGUGUGUGUCUGUGCAUCUUUGUAUCAUUUUGGUGGAUGAUCAAAUCACAACUCAUAGCUUUUUAUUUGGCCCUUUCUUAGCAUGGUAUUUCCCAUAAAUGUCUCCAGUUUCUGGGAGCUAUUGUUCUGUUCCAAUGGUUCCAAACCCUGCUUGAAGUUGACUUCCACAGCAGUAGCCAGAUCCUUCUGGAAUGAAUCUAUUCACCACCAGUGGAGCAGGGCAGCUUUCGACUGCUCCAAGCAGGAUUGAAAUAGGCCUUCUUUCUCUGUUGACAAAGGAAUAUAAUUUCUUAAGAAGUUAGAUAGCCAUUGAAGCUGUCUUAAAGCUAAUGUCCAGUUCAUAAUUUCACAAGGGAAGUCUUCUUUUUUAAAGACAAUGUCGAUUUAAUUCAUUAUAUGUGCUUCAUAAAUCUGAUUUCCAAGUUGGAGCUAUUUUUCCUUCUUCCCCUCCCAAUUGGAGUUCUCAUUUCAGCAAAGCAUGAACCACAUUGCUCUGGCUCUCUCGAGUUAUUUCGAAAGCCACUCUCCAGUUCCCACUUCUUUAUUUCAUUGUUCCAAGAGUCUGGCCUUCAUACCAAAAUGCACCAUUGACUCAGGUGAUCAUUUAAAUCAAGGUGCACUUGGAUCACAAAAUCCAAAGACUUGGAAAUUCACUCCCAAAAUGUAACCUGUCUACAUUUAGUGACUCUAAAUGGUUCAGUUUUCUAGCCAACACAACUCAGCCCAGAAGCUGGAACAUGAAUAAUCCUAUCUCUGGAAAAAUACUAAGGAGAGUCCAGUUCAUUAUCCAUAAUGGCAUUUUUAAAAAGCUCAUCCCAUCUCUUUGUUUUGACUAUCCUUUAAUUCCCACCCCUCUGCUCAUUCUUCAAACUUUUCCCUGGACCCUUUUUAUAUAAGCUCUCAUUUUUUUCCCCCUGUUUCCCUUUUCCUUCCAUGUGUCCUUUUUUUUUUUUCUUAUUUUCACAAAUCUCAUUUUUUUCUGCUCCAAAUCUUUUUAUCUUCUAUUUUCCUUUGGCCCCUCUCUUCACCUGGGUGCUUUGAAUUUGUAUAAUAAGGUUUAGGGGGAAGGAGGAAGGCAAAGGAAGAAAUAGGAUAUAGCUAAGCUGUUCCUCACUGGGCAGUGGUGGUUAUCAAAUACUCAUAAAUUAAUGUUGUCUCUAUCACAUUACAAUGAAAUAAUAAAUUAUAGCUGAUAUAAUUUGUUGCCUCUAUGGACCAUAUUCUUACCCACCACCUCCCCCCACCCUGCUCCCCCUUUUUGCUCUCUGGGUUUGACACUUUGAGUCUUUUUCUAAAACUAGAAAUAAAACAAUUGUUCUUUCUUUCUUCUGCAACAUUUACUUAUAGCAAUUUUCACAUUUGAGUGAAAGAUGUUCUAACGAGUUCCCAAGUUAGCAGAAUUAAUUCAGUUCAGUUCUUUUCAUUUGCUCAGGGUAAAUUGGGGUGUAGAAAAAGAAAACUCUCAAAUUUGCUGCUCCAGCACAGGAAGAAUUUUGCCUCUACCUCUCUGCUUCUCUCCCUGUUUCUGUCUUAAGCUCCCAGCAAAGAAUGUGCAACUGCUAAUGUUUGUGUGUUUGUUUUCUGUAUGCAAUUUAAUUUUAUAUGUAAAAACCUCUCCAGAGGGCUACAUUCUUCACAGCAUGACACCACUGUCAACUCAGGGAAACAGGCUCUCCAUCAAAGGAAGCAUCAUUAAUUAGUUUUCUUUCAGAAAAAUAAUGCCAACAGGAAAUUAGAAUUUAUUGUAAAAGUUUGCAAAAAGUUCUCUAGUUUAGGUAAAAUUCAACAGACUUCUAUUAUUGACCUAGCUCGGCGAGCACAGAAAGAUGGGGAUUUCUCAUAAAAACUUCUAAACCACACAUCACAGCCUAUAUGAAAAAAAGAAAACAAUUAGACUGAGCGACUGGAUAUGUUUCCAUUUACAGUAACAGCCAUGAGAUACUAAUGAACCCUUCUCAAAUCUGAUUCCUGAACCAACUCAGUAUUCCCCAAUACACACUUAACUAGAAGAUUUUGAGAUACUUUUCCUAUGUGUGUGAUAAUUUCAAAAUCCUCAAAAUCAUUCUUAUAAUUUACCUUUAGAUUUGAAAACAUUAAAAGUUAGUACUUUGAGAUUUUCUGUUAUAAAGCCUAAUUGGAAGUUAUUAUUUCAGUUUUCCUGGAAGUUUAAUACCUAGUACAGCAGAUACUGUUUUUGAAAUAUGUUUUGUGAGAAUUCUGAGUGUAACUCAAGAGGUUUUAAUUAAAUGGUUGUACCUCCCAUGUGUUCUAUAGAAUUGCUUCAUUAAGCAAGUCUCUAUUAAAUAUAUCUAUAUCAGUUUUGUACUGCUGCUGUAUGUAACAAAUUACUAAAAAUUUAGUGGCUUAAAACAACAUAAGUUUAUUGUCUUACAGUUCUGGAAGUCAGAAGUUCAAAAUGGGUCUCAAGGGGCUAAAAUCAAGGUGUCAGUGGGGAUGAUUUUUUCUGGAGGCUCCUGGAAAGAAGCCAUUUUCCUCACUCUUCCAGCUUCCAGAAGCCACCGGCAUUCUUUGGUUUCUGGCCACAUCAUUCCAAUCUCUGCUUUUGUCAUCACAUCACCACCUUCUUCUCUAUUGGCCUUAUGACCUCUCUCUUGUAAAAACUCAUGAUUACAUAUAGGCCCACACAGAUCGUCUAGAAUAACCUUCCAAUUUUAAUGUCCUUAAUUUAAACACAUCUGUAAAAUCCCUUUGCCAUGGUAACAUAUUCACAGGUUCCAGGGACAAGGAUGUGAACAUCUUGCAGGGGAUGAGAGGAGUCAUUCAGCCUACCAUAGCAUCUUAUAUGGCCCACUCCAUUCAGGACACUGGAGAUGCAACUGUGGAAUAGAGAGACGAGCAUAUGACUUCAAGGAGUUUACAUUCUAGUGGGGACACCAAUACUAAUAAAUAGACAAAUGGGAAAUGACUUAAAUUUCAGAUUCUCCUAAGUGCUAUGAAGAAAAUAAAGCAGGAUAAGGGGUGGGGUUAAGGAAGGAGAAUGCAAUUUUAAAUAGUGUUCAAGGAAGUCCAUUCUGAAAAGGCAACAUUUAAAUAAUUUCUUGAAUAAGGAGAGAGAGCCAACUCUAGAAAAAUCUAGAAGAUAACUGUUUCUUGGAAAAUAAGAGCAAUCACAAAGGCUCUGGAACUAGAAUAUAUCUUCAAGUAAAAGUAAACAGAGGGUGAAUGGUUGUUGAUGAAGCAUUCAGUGUGUGUGUGGCGGGAGGCGGCAAAUCCUGUAACACGUUGAAGGCCACUUGGCAACAAGUAUGGAUCUUAUUCCAAAUGUGAUGAAAAGUCAUUGUAAGGUUGAAAGCAGAGGAGUGACAUGAUUUGACUUGUUUUCAAGUUCAUCUUCAGGUCAUCAGCUCCAGUGAGAGAAAAUGGUAGCCUAGACCAUAGUGAUUGAAACACAAGUAUUGAUUAGUGAUGGGAAUUGGGAUAUAAUUUAAUAAGAAGCCACUAGGACUUUGCCAAUAGAUUGGAUGUGGAAGGUGAAAGGGAAAGAGAAGAAUUAAUAAUGUUUCCUAGGUUUUUGGCCUGAGCACCUGAGUGAAUGAUUCAUGAAAGAUGGAAUUAUUGGAUUAAGCUACAAUUAUGGACUGAAUGUUAGUGUCCCCCGCUUCAAACUCAUAUGCUGAAGCCCUAGCCCCUAGUGUGAAUGUAUUUGGAGAUAGGUCUUGUAAGGAAGUUAUAAGGUUAGGUUAAUUCAUAAGGGCUGGGUCCUAAUAUGAUAGAGCCAGUGUCCUUAGAAGAAGAGGAAAAUAUACCAGAGUGCUCCCACUUUCCUCUCUCUGCCAUGUGAGGACACAGUAAAGAGUCAGCUAUUUGCAGGCCAGGAAAGCUCUCCCUGGAACCAAAGCAGCUAGCACCUUGAUCUUGAAAUCCCUAGCUUCCACAAUUAGGAGAAAAUAAAUUUCUGCUGUUUAAGCCACCAAUCUGUGAUAUUUUUUUAUAACACCCCAAGCUAACUAAGACUCCUCCCAAUCAUUAAGAGUGAAGACAAUUCCAUCUCUUAAUCCCAGAGUGCUUCCUACUGGCUUAUAUGUUAGCGGCAAAUCUAAAGAUAUGAAGUGAAUGCCUCUUACAUUCAUGAACUUGUAGAAAAAUUCAGAGACCUUAUUUUAGUAAUUGCUUAUGCUUUAAUGUGUUGAUCAACUGUUUGCAUUAUCAGUAAGGCUUCUGGUCAACAGUAGGAUAUUAGUUGUCAAGUUUUUAGGGAGUCAAAUGUUAUCCUCAGAUUUUCAACUGUGCAGAGGGUUCAGCUCCUCUAACGCCGUUGUUGCUCAAUGGUCAACUGUAUUGUCAUUUUAUAAGACUUCUUGAAGUAGAUCAAUAGUGAAGGAGUGGCUCAUUUUAGGAAAGCUGAUACCCAAAAAUGUAUACAGACAAACACCUUAAUGGGAGAUGCUCAUUCAAAAUUACUACUCAUUUUCUUGAAGUAGUAAUUCAUAGUGGUGCAUUUGACCAAGGGUCUGAUUUCUAAAAUUUCAGACCAAGCUCAAUAUUUCUGAAGAGCAAUAUUUCAUCAACAUACAGGCAUCCCCCACCUUGCUCCCUUCUAGAAAUCCACCUUUUUGGAAGUCUGCUUUAAGCCACUUGGCUUUUACAAAAGACCUACAUUAAUACCUGUUUUCUCUAACAAAAAGAAAUUCGAAGAGGAUUGUUGGUUUUACCAAAAAAAAUGUGAAAAUGUGAAAAAAGCAAAUAGCUUCUAGUGUUUGUUUUGCAGCAAGCCCUUACUGAGGCAGAGCACUCUCCAAGCACUGAGUGGCCCCACCAAACUCCUUCCAUGGACCUACACUCAGCAUCUCAGCAUCAAGCCUUUAUAGCUUUGAACCGUGUCUGUGAGCAUCUGUGUUUGAUUGAUUUUGUGCAUCCCUCAGCCAAGUAUGUCCUAAGGUCUCAGAAAAGCUCAAGAAAAGCUAUUUUUUGGUUCUGAAAACAGUAAAAAAUUCUUGCAUAUAAAAUGGUAAUUGCUUCUUUGCUUUAUGCCAUUUUGGCUUUCAAAGUGUUCAUAGGAACACUCUACUUUUGGAUAGUGGAGGAAACCUGUACCCCUGAAAAUGCACCUUCAAACAGUAUAGUGGAGUUAAACACGUGUUAGAUAUUCGGUCUCUCUUUGCCAAAGAAAUUUUGUUCAGGGGCAGAAGAUGAAUUGCCAAAAAGUUGCAAUUUUUUUUUAAUUUUUUUUAACGUUUAUUUAUUUUUGAGACAGAGAGGGACAGAGCAUGAACAGGGGAGGGGCCGAGAGAGAGGGAGACACAGAAUCUGAAACAGGCUCCAAGCUGUCAGCCCAGAGCCCGACGCGGGGCUCGAACUCACGAACUGUGAGAUCAUGACCUGAGCUGAAGUCGGACGCUUAACCGACCGAGCCACCCAGGUGCCCCCCCCCUUUUUUUUAACGUUUGUUUAUUUUUGAGACAGAAAAGUUGCAAUUUGAACUGAAUAUAACUGCAUAUGUGAUGACUUAGAGGAAUUUUUGUUAGAUUUUUAUGUAAGAUAAUGGUAUUGUGGCUAUGACUUUUUAAAAAGAAACUUUAUCUUUUAGAGAUAGACGAAAUAGUAUGAUGUCUAGAAUUUGCUUCAAAAUAAUCCCACAGCAAGCUGUGGGGAGAGAAUGGAAGAGAUAAGAUUGGCCAUGAAUUGGCAACUGUGAAAGUUGGGUAGUGGUUAAGUGGAGAAAAUGUCAUUAUACUGUUCUCUUUGCUCUCAAAUCUGUUUGAAAUUUUCCACAAGAGAAAGUUAAAAGGUGGCCAUCCCAUUGUUAAUGGCAGUCUGGGUAGGGACUCAGGUCUCAGAGUCUCAGCUCAGUGCUCUGUCCUCAUUACCAGCCUUUCCCAAACCUGUGGUAUCUUUCCUAAAAAAUAUAUACACAUGUUAAAAGACAAUUUCACCCAGGGGUAAAAUGACUGACAUAGAGAUAUAAAAAUGAGUAUAUGUUAAAGAUUUUAUUUAACUCGUAAUCAGUGAAAGAACCAGACAGAAAAUGUUGACACAUUUCUAGAUCAGGAGCAGUAAGACAAACGUGCAAAUGGAAGCAAUACUGAUGUUUCUAUAAGACAGGAAGGGAAGUCUGUUGAACGUCUACAGCAUGGGACUAAAUCUGUUUGUUUCUAGACGAGAGUGAUAUUGCAUUUCCAUCAGAUGUCUAUGACUUACAGAGUCAUACAAUAGCUCAAAGACAAUGAGGGACUAAAAUCAGAUAACCUGGAAGGUUGGCAUCUAAACACUUAUAAUUUUCAAUGAAACACAUGUUUGUUCCUAUGUGUAUUUCUGUCAGGGGUUAUCUAUUAGGGAUAAACAGAACACACUUUGGGAAAUGACUUUAGAAGCUGCUGCCUUUCUGUGUGUCAAUCACAGAAAAUGGGAAAAGACACACACAAGAUAGAUUGUGUCUCAUUAGUUGAAUUUGAAUUCCAGGUACUGCCCAUUUUAUAUGUAUCCAAACAUUUUGAAAACUUAGGUAUAAUCUAUGGGCAGGAAUUAUUUAACAUUAUCAGAUAUUGAUUUUUGGAGCGGUAGGGAGUGACUCCAGAUUGGAAAAAAUAAUAAAAAUACAUUUCAUUUCUAUUGAGAAACAUUGGCCAAAAAUAAAUAACCUGCCUAUAUGACCGUAAUUUUAAAUCUGCUGUUUUAUAUUUCCUGUGCUUUUUGAACUUGAGAAUUGUUUCCUGCACAUUGAACAUGAUGCCAUCUCCUUUCUGGAAAAUGUUGAUUGUCUGUCAAUACUGAAAUCUCAUUAACAGACACUUUCCUGCUACUGAGAGCUGAAAAGGCAGAAUAAUGUGUAUGACCCAUAUCCACAUGACUUCUCGGAAAUCCCAUUAAGAUAAAGAGCUGAGAAUUAUGGAGCUGGCCUGGUUCCCACUGUUGUCUCACUGAACUGUAGGGAUGGGUGUGGAUAGUAAGAGGAGAAAAAGGUAGACACAGGUCUGCUGAGGACUUGUGAGAAAAUACCACAGGCUAAUUUAUCAUCAUUGUCUUCAGAAGUGACAUAAGUGCUCACUGGGGACAACUUUGAAAGCCACUUCAUAGAGAAAAUAUGAGAUGGAUUUUUCCAAUUGUCAUUCUGUUGUAAAUUCACCAUAUUCUUUUCAACAAUCCCUACCUCUUUUAUUUUUAAAGUUUUUUUUAAUGUUUUUUGAGGAGAAGGAGAGGCAGAGAGAGAGGGAGUCAGAGAAUCCCAAGCAGGCUCCACAGUCAGUGUGGAGCCCCAAUGCAGGGCUUGAUGUCAAACCCUGGGGUCAUGACUUGAGCCAAAUCAAGAGUCAUACAUUUAACCAACUGAGCCACCCAGGUGCCCCAACAAUUCUUACCUUUUUUGUGAUGUUUCUCUUAAAUAAAGAGUAAAAAUAGGAUUCUUAACUACAUAUAUAUUUAACUUUCAAGAGAUAGUCCUUCUGUCAGUAAAGCAUGGCUCAGGAAAAAGAAAGAGAGAGCUGUAAGGUUUCAUUAUAAUAUUAUCUCGUUCUAGCUCAGGAAGAAAGUCAGCCAUAAAAAAAACCCUGUGAUUUGUCUUUUUGCUCAAGGGACUGAACACCUUGGACACCUGAGAAACUGCUUUUACUUACUAUGAUGAGCUGACUGGUAGAUUUCACUCAGGUGCUGCAAAGAAGUUGAAAGUGGCCUUUGUUUUCCUGAUUAUGAGGCUGUUGGCAUGAGUAUGUGCGGCCUGGGACUCUUCACUGCCUUCAGUCCAUGAGCCAGGUUGACCAGGCAACCACCGUUAGAACAUGGCUGGCUGCUGUGACGAGGAAGAGAGAGAGAGUGCGCACGCACAAACACAAGUGGAGAAGGAGCAGAGAAAGAGAGAGAGGGAGACAAUCCCAAGCAGGCUGUAUGCUGUCAGUGUGGACCCCUACAUGGGGGGCUCGAACCAACGAACAGGGAGAUCAUGACCUGAGCCAAAAGCAAGAGUGGGACGCUUAACCGACUGAGCCACCCAGGCACCACCAUCAGGAAAUGAUGUUUUAAGUAAGCAUUUUAUAUCCUGAUAUGUAGUUUAGACUUUCACGUAGAUGUUCUACUUUGUCUCUGUUUUUAGGACAUUGGUUGAGGA